RNAcentral lists this long non-coding RNA (1715 nucleotides) under Anas platyrhynchos platyrhynchos (common mallard). RNAcentral's name for it is "lncRNA (ENSAPLG00000018692.1)". The record is from RNAcentral. Lineage: Eukaryota; Metazoa; Chordata; Aves; Anseriformes; Anatidae.
CAUGGAUGGAUGAGUCCUUGGGUGGUCAGAUGGGUCCUUAGAUGGUUGGUUGGGUCCUUCAACCCUUGAAACCAUGGAUGGAGAAGUCCAGAGAUGGGUCCUUAGAUGGUUGGUUGGGUUCUUAGAUGGUCGGUUAGGUCCUUCAACCCUUGAAACCAUGGAUGGAUGAGCCCAGAGAUGGUUCUUAGAUGGUUCUUGGGUCCUUCAACCCAUGAAACCACGGAUGGAUGAAUCCAUGGGUGGCCCGAUGGGCCUGGAGAUGGGUCCCCAGCUGGUGGGGUGGACUCCGGGGUCUUCUCCAAACCCCUCCCCACCCCGCAGAGCGCCUUCGACGUGCUGGGCUUCACGGCAGAGGAGAAGGCCGGGGUCUACAAGCUGACGGGCGCCAUCAUGCACCUGGGCAACAUGAAGUUCAAGCAGAAGCAGCGCGAGGAACAGGCCGAGCCCGACGGCACCGAAGACGCCGACAAGUCGGCCUACCUGCUGGGCCUCAACUCGGCCGACCUCCUGAAGGGCCUGUGCCACCCGCGGGUGAAGGUGGGCAACGAGUACGUGACCAAGGGCCAGAACGUCCAGCAGGUGGUCUACUCCAUCGGGGCCUUGGCCAAGGCGGUCUACGAGAAGAUGUUCAACUGGAUGGUCACCAGGAUCAACAACUCCUUGGAGACCAAGCAGCCCCGCCAGUACUUCAUCGGCGUCCUGGACAUCGCCGGCUUCGAGAUCUUCGAUGUGAGGGGCUUUGGGGUUGGGUGGGAGGAGGUGGGGGGUGGGGUGGUCGUGGGGGGUGUCCACCGCGGGGGGGUGGGGUGGACCCGUGGUUGGUCCCGUUAGGGGGUGGGUGGGGUGGGUGGAGGUGGGUGGGGGUUUUGAGCUCCUUGGGUCUCCAGUUGACCUCGUUGGGUCUCCAGUUGACCCCUUUGGGUCUCCAGUUGACCCCAUUGACCCUCUUAGGUCUCCAGUUGACCUCGUUGGGUCUCCAGUUGACCUCAUUGGGUCUCCAGUUGACCCCAUUAGGUCUCCAGUUGACCCCAUUGACCCUCUUAGACCUCCAGUUGACCCCAUUAGGUCUCCAGUUGACCCUGUUGGGUCUCCAGUUGACCCCAUUGACCUUGUUGGGUCUCCAGUUGACCCCAUUGGGUCUCCAGUUGACCCCAUUGACCCUCUUAGGUCUCCAGUUGACCCCGUUGGGUCUCCAGUAGACCCAGUUGACCUCGUUGGGUCUCCAGUUGACCUCGUCGGGUCUCCAGUUGACCCAGUUGACCCCAUUGGGUCUCCAGUUGACCUCAUUGGGCCUCCAGUUGACCCCAUUGACCUCGUUGGGUCUCCAGUUGACCUCAUUGGGUCUCCAGUUGACCCCAUUGACACUUUUAGGUCUCCAGUUGACCCCAUUAGGCCUUCAGUUGACCCCAUUGACCCUCUUAGGUCUCCAGUUGACCCCAUUGGGCCUCCAGUUGACCCCAUUGGGUCUCCAGUUGACCCCAUUGACCCCAUUAGGUCUCCAGUUGACCCCAUUAGGUCUCCAGUUGACCCCAUUGGGUCUCCAGUUGACCCAGUUGACCCCGUUGGGUCUCCAGUUGACCUCAUUAGGUCUCCAGUUGACCCCUUUUGGUCUCCAGUAGACCUUUUUGACCCCAUUGGGUCUCCAGUUGACCCCAUUGGGUCUCCAGUUGACCCCAUUGACCCUGUUGGGUCUCCAGUUGACCCCAUUGGGUCUC